GUAGGGGGCUAGCGUUGUCCGGAAUCACUGGGCGUAAAGGGUUCGCAGGCGGAAUAACAAGUCAGAUGUGAAAGGCAUGGGCUCAACCCAUGUAAGCAUUUGAAACUGUAAUUCUUGAGAAGUGGAGAGGUAAGUGGAAUUCCUAGUGUAGCGGUGAAAUGCGUAGAUAUUAGGAGGAAUACCUGUGGCGAAGGCGACUUACUGGACACAAAUCUGACGCUGAGGAACGAAAGCGUGGGUAGCAAACAGGGAUUAGAUACCCUGGUAGUCCACGCCGUAAACGAUGAGUGCUAGGUGUCGGGGGGAGACCUCGGGUGCCCGGCGUUAACACAAUAAGCACUCCGCCUGGGGGUAGUACGUGCGCAAGCAUG
This 371-nucleotide ribosomal RNA is filed under the name uncultured organism. RNAcentral's name for it is "partial 16S ribosomal RNA". It matches the Rfam family "Bacterial small subunit ribosomal RNA", at positions 527 to 896 of the family's 1533-position model. The record is from RNAcentral.